Molecule: non-coding RNA, 572 nt
Organism: Peromyscus maniculatus bairdii (prairie deer mouse)
Lineage: Eukaryota; Metazoa; Chordata; Mammalia; Rodentia; Cricetidae
Source: RefSeq, a predicted model, not a curated record
GGAUAUCUCUACAUUGACAUGGCUGUCGUGGAACUUACUAUGUAGACCAGGCUGUGCUGUGGGAUGUCCAGUAUGUUGUGAAUAUAUGUUGCUAUGAUUGAUUGAUAUAUGAAACACUGAUUGACCAGUAGCCAUGCAGGAAGUAUAGGAUAAGUGAGACAAACAGAGAAGAGAGGCUGGGAGGUGGAAGCCGGGAAGAGACGCUGCCAACCACCCUGAUGAGGAGCAGGAUGUAAAGUACUGUUAAGCAUGGAUGACAAAUGUUACGAAAAAGAGGCAAUCAGUGAGAUGAAGACACAACCAGAGUCAUCACCAAAAUAACACUGCAGAGACAGACAGAUGAAGACUAAAAACAUGCAGCGUUUGUUCUCUAUGACAUCACUUCUCGCACUUGCUCUGAAGAACAGAAUCUGCACUGAGAAGAGAAGUUUUCCUUCCCCUUCUUCAGAAAGCAGCUACUAGAUUUGCUACCCAUUCAUGUAUGUUCCCCUGACCAUACUGCGUUGUGUCCCUAAUCUGUAACCGAGUUUUAUUUACAGUAUAUUAUAUAAAAUAAAGUAUAUUUAAUGUGA